This 651-nucleotide ribosomal RNA is filed under the name uncultured Fusobacterium sp. Its description in RNAcentral is "bacterial SSU rRNA". It matches the Rfam family "Bacterial small subunit ribosomal RNA", at positions 112 to 776 of the family's 1533-position model. Lineage: Bacteria; Fusobacteriati; Fusobacteriota; Fusobacteriia; Fusobacteriales; Fusobacteriaceae. The record is from RNAcentral.
AACGGGUAAAGAAAUUGCCUCACAGAUAGGGACCACAUUUGGAAACGAAUGCUAAUGCCUGAUAUUAUGAUUUUUAGGGCAUCCUAGAAUUAUGAAAGCUAUAUGCGCUGUGAGAGAACUUUGCGUCCCAUUAGCUAGUUGGAGAGGUAGCGGCUCACCAAGGCGAUGAUGGGUAGCCGGCCUGAGAGGGUGAUCGGCCACAAGGGGACUGAGACACGGCCCUUACUCCUACGGGAGGCAGCAGUGGGGAAUAUUGGACAAUGGACCAAGAGUCUGAUCCAGCAAUUCUGUGUGCACGAUGAAGUUUUUCGGAAUGUAAAGUGCUUUCAGUUGGGAAGAAAAAAAUGACGGUACCAACAGAAGAAGUGACGGCUAAAUACGUGCCAGCAGCCGCGGUAAUACGUAUGUCACAAGCGUUAUCCGGAUUUAUUGGGCGUAAAGCGCGUCUAGGUGGUUACGUAAGUCUGAUGUGAAAAUGCAGGGCUCAACUCUGUAUUGCGUUGGAAACUGUGUAACUAGAGUACUGGAGAGGUAAGCGGAACUACAAGUGUAGAGGUGAAAUUCGUAGAUAUUUGUAGGAAUGCCGAUGGGGAAGCCAGCUUACUGGACAGAUACUGACGCUGAAGCGCGAAAGCGUGGGUAGCAAACAGG